This is a non-coding RNA of Meleagris gallopavo (turkey), 3913 nucleotides long. The record is from RefSeq and is a predicted model, not a curated record. Lineage: Eukaryota; Metazoa; Chordata; Aves; Galliformes; Phasianidae.
CAUGGUUAAUAAUAUAAACAGGGAGCUAGGUAUGCAGAAAUCUAAGUACAAGGGUCCUAUGUCAAUGGCUUAUUACCUUAUCUUUUCUGAGUGACAUUCUCGUGAAUACCUGGAAUCAUAAUAGCUACUCAAGAUAAGAAAUGGAGGGAAAUUCAAUAACAGUAAGAGGCCUGGUAACUUAUGAGAUCUCGAUUACCCUUCAACUGUGCGAGGAUAAGAUUCACUAUACUGUAUGCAAAAGGAACUGAAUAGCAGUAUGGAAACCAUUUUCUCAUUGCAGAGAAGCACUAACAACUGGCUUUUGUGGUUGUUGAGACUUGCUUAUAUAUAUCCACAUAUAUACGUGAAGCUUCUGACUUUCCCAUGAAUGACUUCUUUCUACCUUGAUGGCCUGUGGAUGGCAAGUAUCUCUGGCUCCUGCAGUGGUCUCAGAGCACUUAUGGGCUGGGCUGAUGCAUACGGAGCUCUGAAUUUAGUCCUAGAUACCAUCAAACCUGGAAGUGGAUGUCCAUGUUUUAGUGAAAUCUGUAAUCCAGUUGAUGACAGUGGGGGGUGGUUUGCUCUUCUGGUGGGUAAAUGAGCACAAAGAAGGAAUAAGAAAAGGAGCCUGCAUGAAGUCAUGUAUUAUUUUGGCUCUGAAAGGAUUCAACAGGCAAUUUCUCUCUAUGUUUACUAUCAGGCCUUUCUUCCGCCAGAACAACAGAUUUUACUGUAUGUGAAAACCAUCAAAAGGAAAUGUGAGUAUGCCAGACACUUAGGAUGUGUCUGUAGGGCACUGCCUGUUCCAUAUCAGCCACCAGAAAAGGGAAAUGACAGCUUCGAAAGGCUUUGGGGACUCUAUUGCAUCAGCAGAAUCUGAAAACAAAUUUUGUUUUAAGUGAGUAUGUCCCCUAUGCUGGUUUCUGCUGUCCCUGUCAGGUGUUAUGCUGUUUCCUCAAGUAUGGAUAAUGCUAGUAAUUUCCAGGUGGUUGACAAUCUACAGUUUCUCAUAGCAGAAAGGAAACUUUUAUUCUGACUUCAACUUUCACUUAUAAAACCUUACAAACAAGCAGCUUCUCUGUCCUUUUAGGUAGAUCCAAGGCACAAUCUCAAGGCACGUCAAAGGAAAGCCACAGCAUUCUUUCUGGGGCAGCAGAGUCUUAGGUCAGUGUGUUCCUAUCGUGCUCCUGUACCUGCAUGAGGGUAAAUUGUUUCUUCAUGUUGAUUCCAACUUGGAGAUGUAGCACAACAUCAUAAACAGAGAGAAUCUGACAGAGUGUUUGCUAUUGUGGCAAUAAGGAUGGAGAGUAUGCUGUAGAUCUUAGAAGAUGAAUUCAGUGUUAGCGAAUGCUUUUUUAAAAGGUCAGAUUAGAUGAGGAAUGCAGCCAUUUGCCAAUCCAAAUGAACACCAGCUCUAAAAAGAUAACUCUAAAAAGACUGCUAGAUUAGUGCUCUGAUCCGGACACAUCCCUUAGCCUUGUGAUUUCAGAAGAAAAGCGUGAGAGAGGGAAGGAGUAUGCGAGCAAUGUGAGGCUAUGACCUUUGCUCUCAGCAUCAGGCAAUUUUAUAGUGAUUUGAACUGCCUGUGAAACUGCAUCCUAAGUUAUAUUCUGUGCUGUUUUCUGUUUGUUUGUUUUCUGCAUAUGCAGUUGAAAUUCCAGGAUGUACCAAGUAAUGUCCAACAGACAGGCAAAGACAAAAAAUGGUGCCAAAAAAUGGUGCAGCAAAUUGUGUUGAGCUUUCUGGAGUAAAAGCUGCAGCAUUUGCUUCGGCUUGGCAGGUGUGGCUUAGAAGACUAUGGAAAUGGUGCUGUGGAAGGGUCAACCUGGAAGUACGGAAAAGCCAUCUCCCCUAGGAGCAGUUUGCAGCUCUGGGAAGUAUCAACACAUGCACCAAAUCGCAGUCUUUGCUGGCUACUUGUAUGGUAACUUCUCAGUCAUGGCCUAGAACCACUGAUUGAGCAUCUGGGGAAAGGACUCAGCCCUGGGAUCACAGGUAAAGGCAAUUCAGCUGUGUGACCAGAAGGGGUGGAGCCUGGCUUCACCUCUCUUAGACCUCUUCUAAGGGCUGCCUGCUACUGGGAAAGGAUCUCUUCUUGGAGAUUCCUCCUUUGUGGAGUUUCUCCUUGUGAGCCUAGAUCUUCAGAGACAGACACGGGUGCUUCAACUGAACUAUUGUGGUCAGACCCUCCUCCCCCCAAGAGCAGCCUGAUAAUCUCAACAAAGUGUCUUGAAGCUGAACUGUCUUCUGGAGAGAAUGAAAGGAAUGGAGUGGAAGUGUGGAAAGAGUGGAAAAGGCUGGAUUGCUCAAUCAUGAAGCAGCACCAGGCUGAUAUAGAAUGCCACUGCCUAUUGUAUCUCCAGACAGCAUCAGGCUGAGGGUGUGAGGCCCUACAAUGAAAUUACUGCUGGAUGAACCCAGAGAAUCGCCUCGUGAUUUUGAGUUAGAGUUUCUCUAACUACAAAGUUGAGAGGGCUUGCUCCACCAAAAGACUAAAGUGUUCUAAUGAUGACAAUAAGAUUUAUCCAGAAAAGAUGUACAGGAUCCUGUGUUGCAUGUAGGAACGUGCCUGAGUCCCUUGGGAAAGAAUGCACAAAACUGCUCACACUGGGGAAAAAAAACCUGCUACCAGGAAGAAUUCAUAUUGAGGCCUUGCUCUGACAGCAUUGGGGCGGUGAUAUGAUGAAGACAAGCAAAUUUUCCGUUGCUGUAUACCAUGGAAAAGUAAAAUGUAACCGGCCACUUCCUCAGUUUGGCAGUCACAAGUAUGUGAAAAGAAGCUACUUCUGCAUUGCCAUGAUUUCUUUGGCCUAAGAUUAGGUAGAAGAUGCUUGAUCAAAUCAGUCAAACUCAAGUUUCCUGCUGUGAAUGUAACAGAUGAUAAAUAUAAACUUGAGUUCUCAUGCAUUUUCAGCCAUGAGUCCAUCUGGGAAUAAUUCCACUGAGAGAAGAAGGCUUCCAUUCUAUCAAGAAAAAAGGCUGCAUGGAAAUCACAGAAAGCUACAGAAGAAAGUAUCAGUCAUUGUUUAAAAGCAUUGUGGCCUGUGAAGAUGGAAACCAGAAUGGGAAUUUGUUUCCAAAUUUUAUAAGCUUCUAGAAACUAAAAUGAUGAGAAACAAAUGCAAAAAGUUCACAAAAGUACCAGUUACUUAAAAAAAAAAAGGCCUUAUUCUUUUAUGAUGAAUAAAACUGAUUAGAAGGAUAUUAACCAGAAUGCCAUCAUUUAAACAGGUAGAGAUAUUCCUAGUAUGUUUAGGUUGCCAACAAGAUUAGUCUUAUACUUCUCAGUUGCUAACGAUGAAGUUAUCAGCCACUGUAACAAAUCAUUAAGAGGAACAGUGAGCUUACCAUUUCUUGAAGUCUUCAAACUGAGAGUGAAUGGUAUGCUUUAGCAAACAAUGGAGACACAGCUGGGUGAAAUUAUAUGGUUGUACUAAAGAGCAGGAAACAUGAGAUGUUCUAUGUGGUCCUUUCUAGCCUUAAGAGCUAUAGAUCUAUAAUUUCACAAAUACCAUUACAAAGAAUUCCUUAGAAGUAGUGAUGACCAUAGCAAUAAUCUGAAUCCAUCUCCUGAUUUGGGGUAGAUUAUUCUAAAGAAUUUUGAAAAAUUAGAGGCUACAGUACUGUUUCUAUGUGGUACUGUCAUUACAAGGUUGUGUAACUAGCAUAAAGGGGGCACUUUGUAAUUUUACAGUAUUAGAAAUCCCUUUUUGUGGACUAAAAAGACCCUUCUUCUCUCCAAAAGAGCUCAUUGUACUUCAGUUCAUGAAUGAGUGUAUAAACAAGUAAGCAUGUGUACUGCUUUCCUAUGUGAUGCAUUUCUCUCACUAAAAUGUGUUAGGUUCACUUAGUGAAAUAAAAAAAUAUCCACAGAAGAAAUUAUAAGAUAUUGCUCAUUAACACAGGCUAUUUCUAAGCUAAGCUAAUUUUCUUC